UACGGAGGAUGCGAGCGUUAUCCGGAUUUAUUGGGUUUAAAGGGUGCGCAGGCGGUUUAUUAAGUCAGCGGUGAAAGCGUGUGGCUCAACCAUACCAAGCCGUUGAAACUGGUUAACUUGAGUGCAAACGAGGUAGGCGGAAUGUAACGUGUAGCGGUGAAAUGCUUAGAUAUGUUACAGAACUCCGAUUGCGAAGGCAGCUUACCAGCAUGCAACUGACGCUCAGGCACGAAAGCGUGGGUAUCAAACA
RNAcentral lists this ribosomal RNA (250 nucleotides) under uncultured prokaryote. RNAcentral describes it as "partial 16S ribosomal RNA". It matches the Rfam family "Bacterial small subunit ribosomal RNA", at positions 524 to 774 of the family's 1533-position model. The record is from RNAcentral.